UAGAGUUUGAAUCCUGGCUCAGGACGAACGCUGGCGGCGUGCCUAAUACAUGCAAGUCGAGCGGACAGAUGGGAGCUUGCUCCCUGAUGUUAGCGGCGGACGGGUGAGUAACACGUGGGUAACCUGCCUGUAAGACUGGGAUAACUCCGGGAAACCGGGGCUAAUACCGGAUGGUUGUUUGAACCGCAUGGUUCAAACAUAAAAGGUGGCUUCGGCUACCACUUACAGAUGGACCCGCGGCGCAUUAGCUAGUUGGUGAGGUAAUGGCUCACCAAGGCAACGAUGCGUAGCCGACCUGAGAGGGUGAUCGGCCACACUGGGACUGAGACACGGCCCAGACUCCUACGGGAGGCAGCAGUAGGGAAUCUUCCGCAAUGGACGAAAGUCUGACGGAGCAACGCCGCGUGAGUGAUGAAGGUUUUCGGAUCGUAAAGCUCUGUUGUUAGGGAAGAACAAGUACCGUCGAAUAGGGCGGUACCUGACGUACUAGCGAGACGCC
This 499-nucleotide ribosomal RNA is filed under the name Bacillus licheniformis. RNAcentral describes it as "bacterial SSU rRNA". It matches the Rfam family "Bacterial small subunit ribosomal RNA", at positions 1 to 498 of the family's 1533-position model. The record is from RNAcentral. Lineage: Bacteria; Bacillati; Bacillota; Bacilli; Caryophanales; Bacillaceae.